GGGGCUGUAGCCCAAUGGCAGAGCGCUUGCCUAGAAUGACAGAGGCACUGAGUUUGAUCCUCAGCACCACA
RNAcentral lists this transfer RNA (71 nucleotides) under Marmota monax (woodchuck). Its description in RNAcentral is "tRNA.Ser". Lineage: Eukaryota; Metazoa; Chordata; Mammalia; Rodentia; Sciuridae. The record is from RNAcentral.